UGAGUCACACUUGAUCUUUUCAAAAAGCC
This 29-nucleotide non-coding RNA is filed under the name Rattus norvegicus (Norway rat). Lineage: Eukaryota; Metazoa; Chordata; Mammalia; Rodentia; Muridae. The record is from RNAcentral.